This 111-nucleotide ribosomal RNA is filed under the name Bacillus subtilis. Lineage: Bacteria; Bacillati; Bacillota; Bacilli; Caryophanales; Bacillaceae. RNAcentral also lists the same sequence under 1 other name. The record is from RNAcentral.
UGGUGAUGAUGGCGAAGAGGUCACACCCGUUCCCAUACCGAACACGGAAGUUAAGCUCUUCAGCGCCGAUGGUAGUCGGGGGUUUCCCCCUGUGAGAGUAGGACAUCGCCA